Non-coding RNA from Chrysemys picta bellii (western painted turtle), 570 nucleotides. The record is from RefSeq and is a predicted model, not a curated record. NCBI's taxonomy places the organism in Eukaryota, Metazoa, Chordata, Testudines, Emydidae.
CCCAGUUCCAAAGACAGAGAAAGUGUUGAUCUUGUGGCGGAUAACACCUUUUGGUAGGAUUGACCCGAGUAGCCAACUACCUACAGGAGGAAUACCACAAUAGCCCAACGACGCAGCAGUCCAUGACAGUUGAGGAUGACAGCAAGCCAGUCCCCGGUAUCAAAAAGGUUGAGAAACACUGUUCUACAACAUUCUUGGAGCCGAGGAGAGGCGGAAGGGGAGCACCAGAUACUGAAAAAGAUCUUGGCCUACCACAAAUGAGAGGAAUCUCUUGUGAGGAGUGUAGAUGCCUAAUGAGCGAAAAGUGGUCCUGGAAUCUUUAAGGGUAUGUAAUGACUUGUCAAGGUUCUCUGCAAACAACUUCAGUUCAUCAAAUGGGAAAUCCCCUACUGUAUUCUGGACUUCUUUGUGGAAGCCAGACAACUGUAGCCAGGAAGUCCUAUGCACCAUCACAACCGCGGAAAUGAAACGGGCUGUAGUGUCUGCAAUAUUGAGAGCUGUCUGCAACAGUCUUCUUGCCACUAACUGUCCCUCAGCAACCGUGGCCUGGAAUUGUUCCCUUUUAUCUGG